AUGCAACAAACGGAUCUAGACAUUCGACUGUUACAGCAACCGCCUAACAGCCCCGAGCUUAAUGUUUUAGACCUUUGUUUUCACCGCUCCCUCCAAUCCCUAACCAACUGCAGAGCACCUAUGAAUAUCCAGGAGUUGGUACAUGGUGUAGAGGAGGAGUUUGAGAAUUAUGAUGCACAUAAGUUGUUCAAAAGCUUUAUCACACUACAAGCAGUAAUGGUUGAAGUCAUGAAAGAUCAAGGAGGAAAUACCUACAAGCUGCCGCAUCUACACAAGGACCGUCUACAAAAUGGUGGAGAGGAAAUAACUGGUGUAUAUUGCAGUGCAGAGCUAAUUACUGACAAGAUGGCCAUUAUAGAACAAGGGGAAUAG
This 372-nucleotide ribosomal RNA is filed under the name Triticum aestivum (bread wheat). Its description in RNAcentral is "partial small subunit ribosomal RNA". Lineage: Eukaryota; Viridiplantae; Streptophyta; Magnoliopsida; Poales; Poaceae. The record is from RNAcentral.